This 111-nucleotide non-coding RNA is filed under the name Paramoeba aestuarina. The record is from RNAcentral. Lineage: Eukaryota; Discosea; Flabellinia; Dactylopodida; Paramoebidae.
UUUUUUUCUUUUCUUUUUGUGGUGUGGAACUUUCUUAUUUCUUUUUCCAAUGUGUGAGGUUUGAUGGGGAUAGUGAGGAAGAGGGCAGGGAACCAGGUUGUUCAAAGCCCA